UUCUGGUGUUGCAUAUUGGGCAUCUCAA
RNAcentral lists this non-coding RNA (28 nucleotides) under Mus musculus (house mouse). Lineage: Eukaryota; Metazoa; Chordata; Mammalia; Rodentia; Muridae. The record is from RNAcentral.